Non-coding RNA from Paramuricea clavata, 1033 nucleotides. The record is from the annotation of a GenBank genome assembly. Lineage: Eukaryota; Metazoa; Cnidaria; Anthozoa; Malacalcyonacea; Plexauridae.
ACAAUUUGUCAAGCUUUGAAUGAUCGGAUUGAACCCUGUUUUCGAUAGACUUUUCGGUGGGUUUUACUGAUCUUUUGGGACGAGAGGAUGGGUCGUUUGUCGAGACAGACAGAGUAUUUUCGUCCGUUUCUGCGCUUGCUUUAUCAGGUUUAGUACUGUUUAUUUCGUUUUGACCCGUGUUUUCUACCGUAUUUUCAGCCGUAUUUUGCGAUAAAAACGUAUCUAGUGUUCCUACCUCGGGGUUGUCGACGGUGGUUUUAUCUGCCAUUGAGCUGUUCGUUGUAAAACAGUCGUGUUCUUCUGUAGUUGAAGCCGUUUUGUAGCGAUUUUCGAGCACGCUACAAAGAUAUCUUCGAAGUCAGUUCGUCUUUCUCGAUGUAUACACGCCGGAAAAGUGACUCUUUUUUUACUAUUCUGUUCCUUCGGGAAAGGCCUUGUCCCCUUCAACAGUAGUAUAACAGACGAAUAAGUUUAAACGAUGCUUUUAUUCGCUUUUUUUUGUAAAAAAAGAAUGCUCACUCAGGCGUGAGAACCGAGCCAGAGAAAAAACCGGUAAAACCCCCUGGCUCGCUAUUAAUGAGAUGCGAUUACGGAAAAAUAUCGCGAAACGAGUGAAUAAUAUUAAAGUCUAUCUAGAAAGUAUCUAGGGGCCAUAGUGGCCAGAACAUAAACAUUUAAAUCGUGAAUUGGCGUGAGAAUGUCCUUUGUUGAUUUACUUCGUUUUAAAAAUAAUUCGACGGAUUAUAUGUCGCAAAAAAUGUCGGAAAAAGUUCGGCGAAAAAAAUAAGCGAAAAUAUUUCGAAAAAAUCAGCUGAAAAAAAUCCCAAAAAAAUCCCAAAAAAAUCCCAGAAUCCCGAGAAAAAUUGCCGGGAUUUUCUAAUCCCAAAAAUCCUCGUACGCUUUUUUCAGAGUAAUUUACCCCUCGACAAAAUAUAUAUACAUGUCUUUGUUGUUACUAAAUAUAUUUGUACUUUUUAAAUUUAUUAUUUUGUUAAACUGGAAGGCAACCUUUAUAAUAAAACUUUCUGUAGAG